RNAcentral lists this ribosomal RNA (403 nucleotides) under uncultured bacterium. Its description in RNAcentral is "partial 16S ribosomal RNA". It matches the Rfam family "Bacterial small subunit ribosomal RNA", at positions 30 to 526 of the family's 1533-position model. The record is from RNAcentral.
AUUGAACGCUGGCGGCAGGCCUAACACAUGCAAGUCGAGCGAGCGGCGGACGGGUGAGUAAUGUAUGGGGACUGCCCGAUAGAGGGGGAUAACUACUGGAAACGGUGGCUAAUACCGCAUACUAUCGGAUAACCCAUAUGGGAUUAGCUAGUCGGUGGGGUAAAGGCUCACCUAGGCGACGAUCCCUAGCUGGUCUGAGAGGAUGACCAGCCACACUGGAACUGAGAAACGGCCCAGACGCCUACGGAGGCAGCAGUGGGGAAUAUUGCACAAUGGGCGCAAGCCUGAUGCAGCCAUGCCGCGUGUAUGAAGAAGGCCUUAGGGUUGUAAAGUACUUUCAGUCGGGAGGCGUUACCGGCAGAAGAAGCACCGGCUAACUCCGUGCCAGCAGCCGCGGUAAUUC